ACCGGCAGCUCAAGUGGUGGCCAUUUUUAUUGGGCCUAAAGCGUUCGUAGCCGGCUUGAUAAGUCUCUGGUGAAAUCCCACGGCUUAACCGUGAGACUUGCUGGAGAUACUAUUAGACUCGAGGCCGGGAGAGGUUAGCGGUACUCCAAGGGUAGGGGUGAAAUCUUGUAAUCCUUGAAGGACCACCUGUGGCGAAGGCGUCUAACUAGAACGGACCUGACGGUAAGUGACGAAAGCCAGGGGCACGAACCG
This 252-nucleotide ribosomal RNA is filed under the name uncultured prokaryote. RNAcentral's name for it is "partial 16S rRNA". It matches the Rfam family "Archaeal small subunit ribosomal RNA", at positions 475 to 726 of the family's 1478-position model. The record is from RNAcentral.